This 3186-nucleotide long non-coding RNA is filed under the name Zea mays. RNAcentral describes it as "long non-coding RNA (ZMAY_LNC005894)". The record is from RNAcentral. Lineage: Eukaryota; Viridiplantae; Streptophyta; Magnoliopsida; Poales; Poaceae.
GCAUAUGUGCUUUUCUGUUCUUAGUUGAGACGAGUUCUUCCGUAUGCACUCCAUCUCCUAGCUGCAGACUAAUUACUUUCAUGCGGUGGGUGUUUGACGGAAUGCUUCACUAGCAAUCUGUAGAAACAUAUGCUUCAUGGGAUGAUGUAUCAUAAGUUUAUCCUAUAAAUUUUGGUGAAAUUAAUUGAUUCAUCAUUUAUAUACUAAUUAUUAGUAAUGUGGAAUGAGAUGACGACAGAUCAACUUAUUCUAUUGUAUAAAACAAAUAAAAAAUUGAGUAGUAAUAAGAAAAAAUGGAUCACUUUAUUCUUUAAAUCAAACACACCUAAGCGAGAGAGUACGAGCUCCCCACGCUGCUCACGCGGGACGAGGGGGUGAAGGCCUCGUCAUUCACUCAUUCCCUAACCUCGGCUCCCAGCUCAUGGGUUCGUUUAACCCACCAGAGAUCGAUCCCUCUAUCUCUCUCCUUACUGGAUUGCUCACGAAUGUUGCCAGGUCUUUUGCUCUUUGGUUUUGCGUCUCUGAAACUAGGGUGCAUUUGUAAGUAAAGGAUCUCUAAACCAUAGUAUUUUUUACAUCUCUCUUGGCAAUAUGUGUUUAAAGUCAAAGUAUCUCAAAACUAUAAUAUUUAGUAUAUAUGUGCAAUGCUAGUACUAAACAAAAACUUUAGGUUAGAUUAAAGUUUCAAAUACUCUAAAAAUAUCAUAGUAUCUACAAAACUAUAAUAUUCAAAACAAGAUUUUUUUAUAAUGUAGUCAAACACCUCUCGACAAAAAAUACUAUAGUAUUAUUCAAUGCCAUAAUUUUACCUUAAAACUCCAAAAAUACUUUACUUCCAAACACACCUAAAUAAAAAGCUAAGUGGUGCUAAAUUGGUCCGAACAUGUCAAAUACUUAAAACCAACUUAGUUAAGCUCAAUUUGCAUUCAUUAGGCUCAUGGAUUAGCAAACUGAAUUUGAGUUAGUUAUAUUCUUUAUCCUUAAUUUGGUUAUGUUGGCAUAAAUCAUCAAAAAGGGGAGAUUGAAAGGUAAAUGGGAAAAUAAGCCAUUUCCAUAAUGUUUUGAUGAAUAAUGUCCAACACAAUAUACCGGACUAACCAUUUGCUAAGUCUACGAGCACAAGUUUAAAUCAAGGUAAAUUGAAUAAAGUGAAAUACAAAUCUCUCUAAACAAGACGAGAUAGCGAAACUUUAUGACAAUGGGUAAAACAAUGAGGUUUGAUCUUUUGAAUAAGUUGCACACACCCAUCACAAUGUCUUUAGCACUUUGUUUCGGUCUCUAACUCUGUUUAUCGAAAAAGUGCAAAUUUGGACUUGUUUUGAGCAGAAACAGGAACCCUGGUGAAAAGAUGCGAAAGAGGUGAGUUUUCAUGACUUAUUUUAAUUUAUUUUACUCUAAUAAUGUUUGUCUAAGUCAUAGGGAAGCUCCCAAGGCCACUCAAAAAAAAAGUGGAGAAGUUUAGCCCAAAAGAGCUAAAGUUGGGCUUAUCUGGGGUUCAUCAGACCGAUUCGGUAGUGCACCGGACCGAGUUACAAGAGAACCCCUCGAAAGGCUUCGGGGCAUGGGGCAGGGUCCAAUGCACCGAACCUCUGCUACAAGAAAAGACUGCUCUCGUGGUUUUCACUACAAAUCAUCUGACUAUGGUCCGAUGGUGCACCAGACCUCGCGUGCAACAACUAAUUCGGGCUUCAAUAGACGACCACAACUAGCUGACGUGGAGGACGGUCCUGUGAUGCAUCGGACCGGUCCAGUGUCAGUCAGUUAUGGAAGUUGUCAAUCAAAAUCCCGGACUGCAUGCUACUGUUUCCGGUCUGGUGGUGCAUCAGACUGGUCCGGUGCAUCACAGCGUAGAGCAGCUUUUGAAGGAAACUCCAACGGCUAUGAGAGGACUUUGGCUAUAAAUGGAGCCCCUAGCCAACCACCUCUCUACACCAAGCUACUCAAGAGCAAGCACAUCAUUCCUACGUUUUUGUGAACCAUGCUAAAGCGAUUCGAGUGCCCUUCGUAGUGAGAUUGAGUUGUGUUGUUGUCGUGCUUGUAUUCUUGUCUUUGGGUGUUGUUUCUUUGGUGUUGCGUUCUACUCCUCUCUCUCUCCUGCUGUUACUUGGAGUAUUGCUCCGAUCGAACUUAUGAACGAAUGCAAGAGACUCUGAUACGUGGAAAUACUUGCGAGGAGAAAAAGAGAUAUAACAAAGAACAGUGGCUUCAAGUUGAUCAUUGGAUCUCUUGAGAAGUGUUGAGAGAAAGGUUGAGUGCAACCCUUCGUCCUCUAUGAGGAGUAGACAAACAUUUGAGUUUUAACUGAACCGCGGAUAAAUCGCCUUGUCUUGUGUAUUCGAUCUUUUGAGAUUUAUUCUUCCUUUUUCAUUCUAAGUUCUUGAGUUCACUUGUAAUCUUGCUCUUGACCGACCGAUGCAUUUCUAUCAUCGACAUGGGUCCUACUGCGUCUCGGCGAGGCCGACGUACUUCCAAAAUAUCUCUGGCGGAUGCACUCCCUUAUCAUCCAUAACCCGUUCGAGAUCUAAAUUUGUAAUGCGCAUUAGUAUUUCACGUAACCAAAACGUAUGCAAACAAAAAUUCAUGCAACGUCUAGCUAAUAAUUGUGAAAAUGGCCUAAUAAUCGAGAGGAUCGACGAAUAGAGAAUGUGUUUGGUUGUAAUGACGAAACGGAUAUGAUGGACCAUCCCUUAUAUAACCUUACCCUGCUAGAGGUCUGGCAAUGGGGAUCUGGGCGACCUCCAUGUUAGAAUCUAUACUGUCUAGGAUCGAUUCCUAAGUCCCUAGAAUACUGAUCCGUAACUGAAAGUAAAAUCUUGAUGACGUGUAGAUCUGAUCUACUGAUCUACUGAGAGGAACGGGGAAACACACCUUUGUUGCUGUUGCUAUCUUCAUAUCGUCGCCCUGCAGAGAAGCAGCAGGCAUUGGGAUCCGAGCCGCUGUAGGUUGUCGCAUUUCCAAACACUCCGACGCCUAGGCGAUGGGGGCCUCUGAGGACUAGGGUUUUGGGGCGAGGUACUAGCGUUAGUCUUUCCUGCGACCCCUUAGUCCUAUAUAUAGCGUCGUGUGUCUGGGGGCUCCAACCGAGGUUAGCGUGGGCCCUCCCGAUCAAGGGCCCGAUUAAAGGAACGAUAGUUGGGUUAAGCCCAAUCCAGUCUCUAUUGACCGGCUGUAGAGGACACACCCAAC